RNAcentral lists this ribosomal RNA (778 nucleotides) under uncultured bacterium. Its description in RNAcentral is "bacterial SSU rRNA". It matches the Rfam family "Bacterial small subunit ribosomal RNA", at positions 8 to 796 of the family's 1533-position model. The record is from RNAcentral.
AGAGUUUGAUCCUGGCUCAGAACGAACGCUGGCGGCGUGCCUUAAGCAUGCAAGUUGAGCGAUGCUAGACUUUAUCUAGCAUAGCGGCGCACGGGUGAGUAACACGUAGUUAGUUGACCUAUUGACGGGGAUAGCCGCAAGAAAUUGCGGGUAAUACCCGAUAAGCCCUACGGGGGAAAUGCAGCAAUGCGCAAUUGGAGAUGACUGCGUCCCAUCAGGUAGUUGGCAGGGUAAAAGCCUACCAAGCCUAUGACGGGUAGCCGGCCUGAGAGGGUGUACGGCCACACUGGAACUGAGACACGGUCCAGACUCCUACGGGAGGCAGCAGUGGGGAAUUUUGCGCAAUGGGCGAAAGCCUGACGCAGCAACGCCGCGUGAGUGAUGAAGGCUUUCGGGUCGUAAAGCUCUGUCGAUGGGAAAGAAGUGUAAGGUGGUUAAUACCCGCUUUACUUGACGGUACCCAUAAAGGAAGCACCGGCUAACUCCGUGCCAGCAGCCGCGGUAAUACGGGGGGUGCAAGCGUUGUUCGGAAUUAUUGGGCGUAAAGCGCGUGUAGGCGGUUUGAUUAGUCUGAUGUGAAAGCCCUGGGCUCAACCCAGGAAGUGCAUUGGAAACUGUCAGACUUGAAUACGGGAGAGGGUAGUGGAAUUCCUAGUGUAGGAGUGAAAUCCGUAGAUAUUAGGAGGAACACCGGUGGCGAAGGCGGCUACCUGGACCGAUAUUGACGCUGAGACGCGAAAGCGUGGGUAGCAAACAGGAUUAGAUACCCUGGUAGUCC